Long non-coding RNA from Corvus hawaiiensis (hawaiian crow), 586 nucleotides. RefSeq lists it as uncharacterized. The transcript has 3 exons. Lineage: Eukaryota; Metazoa; Chordata; Aves; Passeriformes; Corvidae. The record is from RefSeq and is a predicted model, not a curated record.
GGCCGCGUGGCCCCAUCCGGCCGGGCAGAAAACAAAGACCUCGGGCUUCUCCAUCCCCCAGGGAGCUGCAGCUCAGGGGCCAUCCCAGCUGCAGCCGCUGCUGGCGGGGGGAACAGCUGCGGAGGAGAAAGCCCUCUUGUUCCUCCACAGCCGGAGACACCGGGCAGGAGACGGUGGGAAGGGGGAAAAUGCAUGGAUGGAUGGACGGAUGGAGAAAACACACGUGCGGUGGGACAGCGAAGCUUCGCCUCAUGACUCAGCACCUCCUCGUCCUGGCCCUCUGUGGGGACCCACUUCCCGAUGGAUCCAGGGAUGGACCCACUUCCCAAUGGAUCCAGGGCUUGCUGAGGUGCAUCCUCAAGGACAGCCACCCCUGCUGCAGGAUUAAGCUGCUGAGUCCUCCCAGCUGGAAAGCAGAGCUCGGAUCUCCCAACACCCUGGGGAACCAAAGACUCACAGGAUGAAAACUCGGCUCCCACGUGGAAAAGUUUUCUGAGACAUCUGAGCCCCAGCCCAAAGGACUGCUCGAGGUUUUAGAAUGUAUUUUAAGACACAAAGGUAAAGAAAAGGGUGUUUUUUAAAGCUC